Long non-coding RNA from Chiroxiphia lanceolata (lance-tailed manakin), 1502 nucleotides. RefSeq lists it as uncharacterized. Lineage: Eukaryota; Metazoa; Chordata; Aves; Passeriformes; Pipridae. The transcript has 3 exons. The record is from RefSeq and is a predicted model, not a curated record.
AGCCACAGUAGCGUUCAUACCAGGUAGUGAAUUUGCUGUUGGGAUUUUGGUCUUUUCUGUGUGACAUAGUAGCUGUAGUGGGGAGAACUUAGAGCAAAAUUCCAGUUCCAGUUAAGCAGAGGAGACUGGGAAGACUGUGCUAACCUUACACGCUGUUUUCUGUCAGCCUUGUGCAUUGUAUUUUCUAGAUUUCUGUUAUCUUUAUUAAGGCCCAUUUCAUCGGUAUAAGGGCAGGGUAGGGAAAAUUUUACUUACAAUUUUUCUCUAUGGGAAUAUGGCACAGUUUUGUAAGACAUAUUCUCACAGGUUUCUGAAUUUUAACAUAAAGGAAUAAAAAACAGGAAAAUGGAUGCUCAAAAAAUUUAAUAACAUAAAGUAUAAAUAAUAUCAAACCAUGUUUCCAACAGAACAAGAGUUUUCUAAAGACUAAUUGGCACAUGGAGACCAAUCAAGCUGUUAGAAAUAUGAUUUUAGCUCUAUAACAUCCAGCUAACUUUUUCAUUAUGUCUGUCAUACAAGCUGAGCAUGCAGCAUUCUCUGCCCUUUGGUUAACAAAUGGAAGCAGGUUAUAGAAGUCAGAAUGCAAUUUAAAGCUGAUGAAAAGUUGUGAGAGGUUUUAUAUAACAAAAGCUUAUAAAUUGAGAGUUAAGGUAUAUUUCCUUUUAAGAUGAGAUUCUAGCAACAGACCAUUCUUUUUGUUAUGUGAAUUAGUGUUGCCACGACACAGCACAGUGUUCAAGGUUCUUUCAUGUUUGAGAUCUCCUUUCUGAGUACUGACAUUUCAUAUCCUUAUUGCUUCUUACAGAAGUAACCUGGAUUGCAGAAUUAUCUUUUGACUGCCUCAAGUCAGUAUGGCCAAUCUGUUAAGAUAUUGAAGUUAAGGAUCCAGUCAAAAGAAUCUGUGAACCAUGAUCAGUUGUCUUGGAGAAAGGGAGAGACAGCUAUAUCGUGGAGAUAUAGCUAUUAGAAGAUAGGAGGGGACCACCUGGAACCACAUUCAAGGCAAAAAGGGAGGCCCUGGGGAAUUAUCUUUACUUUGACAUCUGCAAGAACUUCAUCAAGUAUUUAAACUUCAAGUAUGAAAUUCAAUUUUAAGUUUUCAGGAAUGAUCCUUAUGAAAUUGCUCCCAUUUCCUCCUUUGACUGAGUAACCAGCCUGCAGAUGAUGGAUACAGCAGAUGAGAUGUUUGACUGCACUAAGACUUUUAUCAUUAAAGCUUAAGCAAAUCAUGCAAUGGAGUAAAAGCAGACUGCUUCAAAAGGAGAGAUAUGUCCUGCUACUGAAGGUGUGUCCAGACCUGAGCAACUUUAAAAAGCAACUGGAGGAGAACAGCAAAAACAUACAGAAACCAUGACUUACAGGUAUGUAAUAUUGAAAGAGUUGGAUUUGGAGAAAGGCUGAAUGGACAUAAUUUCUUCCUAUGUAAAAUAUUGUUACAGAAAGAUGAGAAGCUGUACCAGCGGAGCAUAAAAUAAUCAGCUUCUAAUUGGGAGAGGAAAAAA